UACGUAGGGUGCGAGCGUUAAUCGGAAUUACUGGGCGUAAAGCGUGCGCAGGCGGUUUGUUAAGACAGAUGUGAAAUCCCCGGGCUUAACCUGGGAACUGCAUUUGUGACUGGCAAGCUAGAGUAUGGCAGAGGGGGGUAGAAUUCCACGUGUAGCAGUGAAAUGCGUAGAGAUGUGGAGGAACACCGAUGGCGAAGGCAGCCCCCUGGGUUAACACUGACGCUCAUGCACGAAAGCGUGGGGAGCAAACAGG
Molecule: ribosomal RNA, 253 nt
Filed under: uncultured bacterium
Lineage: Bacteria
Description: partial 16S ribosomal RNA
Rfam family: Bacterial small subunit ribosomal RNA
Source: RNAcentral